GGGGAAUUUUGGACAAUGGGCGAAAGCCUGAUCCAGCAAUGCCGCGUGUGUGAAGAAGGCCUUCGGGUUGUAAAGCACUUUUUUCCGGAAAGAAAUGGCUCUGGUUAAUACCUGGGGUCGAUGACGGUACCGGAAGAAUAAGGACCGGCUAACUACGUGCCAGCAGCCGCGGUAAUACGUAGGGUCCAAGCGUUAAUCGGAAUUACUGGGCGUAAAGCGUGCGCAGGCGGUUGUGCAAGACCGAUGUGAAAUCCCCGAGCUUAACUUGGGAAUUGCAUUGGUGACUGCACGGCUAGAGUGUGUCAGAGGGGGGUAGAAUUCCACGUGUAGCAGUGAAAUGCGUAGAGAUGUGGAGGAAUACCGAUGGCGAAGGCAGCCCCCUGGGAUAACACUGACGCUCAUGCACGAAAGCGUGGGGAGCAAACAGGA
Molecule: ribosomal RNA, 429 nt
Filed under: uncultured Ralstonia sp.
Lineage: Bacteria; Pseudomonadati; Pseudomonadota; Betaproteobacteria; Burkholderiales; Burkholderiaceae
Description: bacterial SSU rRNA
Rfam family: Bacterial small subunit ribosomal RNA
Source: RNAcentral